RNAcentral lists this ribosomal RNA (404 nucleotides) under uncultured Gemmatimonadaceae bacterium. Its description in RNAcentral is "bacterial SSU rRNA". It matches the Rfam family "Bacterial small subunit ribosomal RNA", at positions 353 to 772 of the family's 1533-position model. The record is from RNAcentral. Lineage: Bacteria; Pseudomonadati; Gemmatimonadota; Gemmatimonadia; Gemmatimonadales; Gemmatimonadaceae.
AGUGGGGAAUAUUGCGCAAUGGGCGAAAGCCUGACGCAGCGACGCCGCGUGCGGGAUGACGGCCUUCGGGUUGUAAACCGCUGUCGGGGGGGACGAAGCUCUGACGGUACCCCCAAAGGAAGCACCGGCUAACUCUGUGCCAGCAGCCGCGGUAAUACAGAGGGUGCGAGCGUUGUCCGGAAUUACUGGGCGUAAAGGGCGCGUAGGCGGCCCGAUAAGUAGGGGGUGAAAUUCCGCGGCUCAACCGCGGGACGGCCUUCUAGACUGUCGGGCUUGAGCACGGUAGAGGCAGAUGGAAUUCCCGGUGUAGCGGUGGAAUGCGUAGAGAUCGGGAAGAACACCAGUGGCGAAGGCGGUCUGCUGGGCCGUUGCUGACGCUGAGGCGCGACAGCGUGGGGAGCAAA